UGCAAAACGUGCAGUGUUGGGGUGCCUCCAGGACCAGGGUUGGGAACCAUGGGUCUAUGCUACCAAUCAUCAUACUACUUUAAAUUUGCUUUGUCUACAAAAAUAUGAGGUGUAGUUUAUAUAGAGAUGAUGGGGUGUGGAUGUGGAGCAGGUGAGCAUCUGUUGGACAGGCUAAAGACCAGCUGUGUUUUGCCGUCACCGUCACCAACCAUAUCCAUCCAUCUGUGGAUGAUGCCAGGAACAGAUUCUUGA
This 252-nucleotide long non-coding RNA is filed under the name Sinocyclocheilus anshuiensis. RNAcentral's name for it is "lncRNA (ENSSANG00000024788.1)". Lineage: Eukaryota; Metazoa; Chordata; Actinopteri; Cypriniformes; Cyprinidae. The record is from RNAcentral.